Molecule: ribosomal RNA, 492 nt
Filed under: uncultured bacterium
Lineage: Bacteria
Description: partial 16S ribosomal RNA
Rfam family: Bacterial small subunit ribosomal RNA
Source: RNAcentral
AGUGAACGCUGGCGGUAGGCCUAACACAUGCAAGUCGAACGGCAGCACAGUAAGAGCUUGCUCUUACGGGUGGCGAGUGGCGGACGGGUGAGGAAUACAUCGGAAUCUACUUUUUCGUGGGGGAUAACGUAGGGAAACUUACGCUAAUACCGCAUACGACCUACGGGUGAAAGCGGGGGAUCUUCGGACCUUGCGCGAUUGAAUGAGCCGAUGUCGGAUUAGCUAGUUGGCGGGGUAAAGGCCCACCAAGGCGACGAUCCGUAGCUGGUCUGAGAGGAUGAUCAGCCACACUGGAACUGAGACACGGUCCAGACUCCUACGGGAGGCAGCAGUGGGGAAUAUUGGACAAAGGGCGCAAGCCUGAUCCAGCCAUACCGCGUGGGUGAAGAAGGCCUUCGGGUCGUAAAGCCCUUUUGUUGGGAAAGAAAAGCAGCAGGUUAAUACCCCGCUGUUCUGACGGUACCCAAAGAAUAAGCACCGGCUAACUUCGUG